CCAGCACUGUUCACAGAACACGGCUGCUGUGGAAGACUUGCUAUUGGAAAGGCUCUGCAAGCCAGGCGUCACGCAGAAAGCCAUGUCUCAAGACUCCCAGCCACAAACUGAUGAAGGUGACCAGAAACACACCAUAACCAUCGCAGCUGGUCAAAGAUCCUGUAACAGGCCUGCAAGGAGCUCAACUGAGCAAUUCCCCCAGAAGCAAAGAGGGGAGGAGUAUGUUCUCACUGUGCAGCGGAAGACGGAUGCAGUCUACGGAGGCAAGUGAAGUGCUGCUUGUUAGAUCAAAGCUAAGCAUCUCUGCUCGACAUACUUCAAACAGGAACUGAGGAUGGUGGUUCUCCAAGUGUUUGUUUUCAUUGGGUUUCCUGUGUUCAGUUUAGGGAAAACAGACAACAGGAGUUGUUUGAAAUAAAGCUGUAAUUUACUAUCCUAACAUGCUGAGAAGCAAUUAGAUUCAAGCUAAUUACUGUAAAUAGUUUUUAUAAUUACUUGUAAAACAUUCUACUACCUGUACUUCUGCUAAAGUCAGUCAAGGCCUGUAGUAGUAUUUUUUUUCUAAGAGAAGGCUUAAUGUUAUUACUCAAGGGCCAAACUGUUUUCUUGAAAUCUUCAAAAAGGAGUAGCUAUGCUGUAGAAACUACUGCUGGAAAGCAUCUGUUAGGGCAUGCAUCCCCUUCACAAGACUGUGUGUAUCAGUAAACUGAAGAGUUGUCUAGGCUAGUUUAUA
Pezoporus occidentalis (night parrot) is the source of this 733-nucleotide long non-coding RNA. RefSeq lists it as uncharacterized. The record is from RefSeq and is a predicted model, not a curated record. NCBI's taxonomy places the organism in Eukaryota, Metazoa, Chordata, Aves, Psittaciformes, Psittacidae. The transcript is spliced from 3 exons.